This 544-nucleotide ribosomal RNA is filed under the name uncultured Gammaproteobacteria bacterium. RNAcentral's name for it is "bacterial SSU rRNA". It matches the Rfam family "Bacterial small subunit ribosomal RNA", at positions 370 to 905 of the family's 1533-position model. Lineage: Bacteria; Pseudomonadati; Pseudomonadota; Gammaproteobacteria. The record is from RNAcentral.
CAUGGGGGAAACCCUGAUGCAGCCAUGCCGCGUGUGUGAAGAAGGCCUUCGGGUUGUAAAGCACUUUCAGUAGGGAGGAAAGGUAGCAGCUUAAUACGCUGUUGCUGUGACGUUACCUACAGAAGAAGGACCGGCUAACUCCGUGCCAGCAGCCGCGGUAAUACGGAGGGUCCGAGCGUUAAUCGGAAUUACUGGGCGUAAAGCGUGCGCAGGCGGUUUGUUAAGCGAGAUGUGAAAGCCCCGGGCUCAACCUGGGAAUUGCAUUUCGAACUGGCGAACUAGAGUCUUGUAGAGGGGGGUAGAAUUCCAGGUGUAGCGGUGAAAUGCGUAGAGAUCUGGAGGAAUACCGGUGGCGAAGGCGGCCCCCUGGACAAAGACUGACGCUCAGGCACGAAAGCGUGGGGAGCAAACAGGAUUAGAUACCCUGGUAGUCCACGCCGUAAACGAUGUCUACUCGGAGUUUGGUGUCCUUGAACACUGGGCUCUCAAGCUAACGCAUUAAGUAGACCGCCUGGGGAGUACGGCCGCAAAGUUUGGAUCCGAA